GACGAACGCUGGCGGCGUGCCUAAUACAUGCAAGUCGAACGAGAGCGACCGGUGCUUGCACUGGUCAAUCUAGUGGCGAACGGGUGAGUAACACGUGGGUAACCUGCCCAUCAGAGGGGGAUAACAUCCGGAAACGGAUGCUAAAACCGCAUAGGUCUUCGAACCGCAUGGUUUGAAGAGGAAAAGAGGCGCAAGCUUCUGCUGAUGGAUGGACCCGCGGUGCAUUAGCUAGUUGGUGAGGUAACGGCUCACCAAGGCCGUGAUGCAUAGCCGACCUGAGAGGGUGAUCGGCCACAUUGGGACUGAGACACGGCCCAAACUCCUACGGGAGGCAGCAGUAGGGAAUCUUCCGCAAUGGACGCAAGUCUGACGGAGCAAACGCCCGCGUGAGUGAAAGAAAGGGUUUUUCGGGAUCGUAAAAACUUCUGUUGUU
RNAcentral lists this ribosomal RNA (433 nucleotides) under Granulicatella adiacens. Its description in RNAcentral is "bacterial SSU rRNA". It matches the Rfam family "Bacterial small subunit ribosomal RNA", at positions 28 to 440 of the family's 1533-position model. Lineage: Bacteria; Bacillati; Bacillota; Bacilli; Lactobacillales; Carnobacteriaceae. The record is from RNAcentral.